GCAAGAUAAGCUAAUAAAGCUAGUGGGUUCAUACCCCAAAAAUGAGUCGUUCUCUCUUUCUA
This 62-nucleotide transfer RNA is filed under the name Mimobdella japonica. RNAcentral's name for it is "tRNA-Met". Lineage: Eukaryota; Metazoa; Annelida; Clitellata; Hirudinida; Salifidae. The record is from RNAcentral.